AUGCUUGAAGUAAUGUUGGUACCACGUGACGAAGAAGAGGCAGCAGGUUUGCCAGGUGAGGGUGUUGGUGGCGGAGGACACGCGGGGGUGGUCCUCGGCGACGGCGAGGCCAGCGGCGGCGGAGUCCGGCGAAGCGACGGCGAGCAGCAUGUAGGCGUGCACGGCGAACAUGGCGACGGCCAGCAGCAGGAAGGCGCCGAUGGAGAAGGCGAGCGCCGAGCGGCCGCUGCCGUUGUAGAAGCACAGCUCCACCUGCGCCCCGCUCCCGGCCACGGUCAUCAGGUAGUUGGACACCUGCAGCCAGCCAGCAUCAGCACGAGCUAUAGUAAGCUAGCAAGGCCGCGUGUUGGUCGGUGUGCGUGCGUGCGUACCUCGGAGCGCGAGCCCUCGGCGGCGAGGCAGAGGAUGAAGCUGACGAGGCCGCAGAGCACGGAGAGCGCGACGAGGGCGACGGCGAUCUGGCUGCCGGAGCGCCCCGCCCGGCGCUCCUGCGCCUUGCGGAGGGACAGGUCGUCGUGCGUCACGGCCGGCCGCAUUGCGAAAUCCUCACUUGAUUGA
RNAcentral lists this ribosomal RNA (558 nucleotides) under Triticum aestivum (bread wheat). Its description in RNAcentral is "partial small subunit ribosomal RNA". Lineage: Eukaryota; Viridiplantae; Streptophyta; Magnoliopsida; Poales; Poaceae. The record is from RNAcentral.